RNAcentral lists this long non-coding RNA (3792 nucleotides) under Heterocephalus glaber (naked mole-rat). Its description in RNAcentral is "lncRNA (ENSHGLG00100040789.1)". Lineage: Eukaryota; Metazoa; Chordata; Mammalia; Rodentia; Bathyergidae. The record is from RNAcentral.
AAAUAUUGUGAUGAACAGUCAGUGUUUAUUAUCCCACAAUGAAUAUGUUACAUAACCAUGAAGUAUGACGAUGAAACCAAGUUCUAAGUCGUAAAUAAAAUGGUGAAUGGAGUUGUUAGCAUGUUCUUUGUCAAUGGUUAUUUGAUAAGGAUGAUGAAAGAUGCAGAUGAAAGCACAGUAUCUAGAGAUGGACCAAUAAAGUCACUACGCAAAAGGAGAAUACGAAAGGAAUAAACUCUAUUCAAGUAUUUCAUUUCCUGGGAGAGAAUUCUAAAGUCCCUGUGCCAGAACUGACCCGGAAUCAAUCUGCACAUUCUGUUUAUAAAUAUCUAGCAAUGUUAUUCUUUCAGAUAUUUAUUCUUUCUUUUCAGGGGAAAAAGAAAGUAACUUUGAAGCUACAUCUUCUUUGAAUUUGGAAUUUUUAAAAAAGUGGCAAGUUAUAUAUCAGAUUUAUGAGAUUGAUAUUAUUAGAUGUUACAAUUUUAAUAACUUGAAGACAUUUUAGGUUUGUACCAAGCAAGAUGGUAUGUAGCAACCUUACUGCUGUUGGAAAAGUCAGUUAUUGGAAUUUUCACUUAAAUGGCUAUAACAAGAUUAAGUGAUGGUUUUAUAAUAAAAAUGAGAGUGUGUUCUGUUGCACAGAGAUAAAUGCAAUAAACUUUCUUGUGGUUGUUUAAUUAUAUCAGCAGUUGAAAGUGUUGUAUGUGACCCAGUUUGUGUUGAAUUAUAGUUACAGUCAGUUGUUUGUGUAAAUCAUAGAUUCUUUUAAAGAGGCGAUUUGGUGACAAAACACUAGUAAAAUGUCUGUCACAGAACUUACACAGUAUUUUACAUUGGAAUACAACAAUAAUAGGUUUAUGGUAUACAGAUUUUCUCUGAGCUUUUUUAAUUGUUUCAUGCCAGAGGAAUUUACCCCAUUCACAAAAUUGCUUGUGCAUUCAUGGCUCUUGAAAAUAAAAAUUACCUAUUUUUACACUUUAUACCCUAUUUAACAUGUAGAUUAUUAUUGGAGAGUCUUUAUUUUCCUUUAUUUAUUACCAUGAGAUUCCACUGGCUAAUAUCAGUGCUUUGUAUUUUUAUCUUGCUUUUUUCCUGGACAAAUUCAAAGUUGUCUGUGAGGUGGAUGGGAGUAGCUACUCUUAUUGCUCCUCUUGUUAGAGAAGUUACCAAAAGUCCCCGAACUACCUUAUAGUGAAGCUGUGAUGUUCCACUUAAAAUCUUUUAUUGAAUAUUUUUAUGUUCAAGUAACAGGUAUAGGGGAUUUAAAUCUUUGAAAUCACAGAACCAUUUUAUUACUAAAUAUCUAGAAAAAAACUACAUUACACUAGAGUUGAAUGAAAGUUUGGAUCCCUUGCUGGACCUGCAGCCAUCUCUGGACCAGCCCCAUCCCGGUUCUCUUACAUCUCCCUCCAUGGGUACAUGUUAGACCUCGAGGCUCCAGCUUCCCCUUUUACUAAAGAAGCCAAGCACAGCCAGGAAGCCCAUUCACUUCCUGUUUCAGAGAGAACUGAAAAUACAAGUAAGUGCUUUUCUCCACUGCCACAUUCUAACCUUCAUGAGUUGGUAGAAAUCCUAAGGCACAGUUAACCAUAAUUUGUAUUUAUUUAAUGCGAACUGAACUGAACUGAACUGGUCUUCCAGGGACUCCCACUCUAGCUUUAAUCUAGACAUGCUGAAUAAUUCUAAAUAUUUUUCAAAGUACACAGUUCCUUCUGGAGAUAAAUCCUUAACUACAAAAACCUUGCCAAACAGGUGUCAUAAAUGUGAAUAUUUUUUCUAAAUAUUGAUUAAACCUGUUUUUACUUUCUUAGUUGCAGAAUCACUUUUAACUUUUGGCUAAAUUUUAACUAAAAUUUGAACAUUUGGUUAAAAACUCCAGGAGCUUGCAGUGGUAAAAUCUGAGCAUUCAUUUUUGCCAAGUUACUGCUAAUUCCCACGCAUAUUCCUCUCAGUAGAUGUACCGUGGCUGAUAGGUUUAACCAAAACUAAAAUGCUUAUGAGUAGUAUAAGAGAUCUAUACAGUAGACAAAACAGAAUCUUAAUAAUGAAAUCCCUUUUUGCGUUUAUCCUAAUCUAACUUUAUUAUUUAAAAUGACAAAUUUUAUCUUCUUCUCUGCUAUUUUGCUUUUAGUUCUCCUAGUUUUACAUGCUUUUUUAACUUCACAGGCUAAAGUAACUUUUGUUUUCUUGAAAGUGUUUCUCGGCUAGCCCUGUGCUCAUUGACCAUUUCUCUAGGAAGACAUCAUGUUGGUAGUUUUUUUAAAGUGUCAGUCCCCAUGUAGAGGAGACACAGGAUGGAUGGAACUGCUUAUGUGUUACAGAGGACCACUAGCAGUGAAUUUAAUGUACCAUCAAAACCUAGAGUUCUAGUCCAGAAAUAGUUUUGUUAUCAGUAAAAACUAUUCCAAGUAAUCAAAACAUUAAUCUCUAAGGCACUUAUGAACAGUUUUUGGUUCUCCAGUUUGGACUGUAUGUUUUAACAAUAGCAGGAUUUAUAUAUAAAAUAUCAGGUGGCUAAGAAAGGUACUUAAAUCUUUUCCAUGGGUGACUUAUUAAAACAUAAUGGCAUUAACCCAUAAAUUUCAAUAAUUUUUCCCACAGUACAUUGCUCUUACACAUUUCCAUACUAUGGCAGCUGUGAGUGUUUAGGAAAUAAAGUCAUCCUCACUCUGACAGAUCAGAUGAGGCAGUUGAUGAGAGAAUAUGCACUUGGAAACAUCUUUGGAGUUUGUCUCUGGAGAGCCCAGUGCACAGAGUAAGUAGUUUUGAUGAUGGCCCCAGGAAAACUGGAAAAAUUAUGUAACACAGCAUCUUAAAACAUAUUUUGCACAUGUUAAAUGGUGGAAAUACUCUCUGUGAAAUUUGGAGUUAAAGUUUUAAUAAUGCAUUUGCUAAGCCAUUUAUACAUAAAGUAUGAAAUUUAAAGAUAAAUGCAUGAUAGAAUUGACCAUAAUGUAUUACUUCAGUUUCUGUCAUCACUCAACACUGCCCUUUACUAUAAGGUCAAUUAUGUCCUGGGGCCAACAUAAAGUUCUUGUUAUGCAUGUCCUUGUCUUUUCAAUAAUAUUAAUCCUUGAUUUUAUUGAAAUAAACCAUUCUUAGCUGGUUUUCUCCAUGAAGUAGUUAAGAGGCAAUUAAGUCAUUCUUGCUUCCAAUUCUUAAUCAGUCUCUGUUCUUUAAUGGUUUACAAGUGGUCUUAAUUUCUGGUGUUCACUGGUAAUAAUUUUGGUUGUGUUAGCACUGAAAAAGUAUCUGAUGACAACUACCAGUAAGGUAGGAAAAAACAAAAUUAUCAUGCAAAAUAAAAAAAGUUUUACACUCUUAAGAAAUUGAUCCUUUUUUUUUUUUUUUGCUUUAACCCUUAAAAUUAAUUUUCAGUUCUAUAAUUCAACUCUCACUUUUAUAAGAGGAGAGAAUUUGGGACAAGAAUAAAGACGCAACUUUACUAACUGGUGGGAAAAUGCUUAAAUGACUGGUUGCUUUUCUAUAAAAAGCUUUGUUGCUACAAUUCCAAAAUCCAAAAAUCUCUGCAAAAUGAAAUUUUUCUUUUAAAAAAAAUUCAUUAGUACGUGUUUGCAAUAUGUAGUGGUUACAUUCACCUUGGGGGUGUAUUUACAUGUGUAUAUCCUUCCUUGAUCAUUGUUACUCCACCUGUCCCACCUCCUUCCCCAGACCUCUUCCCAUCUCUUCAGAGUCUCCCUCCUUUUUUCUUAACAUGUCUCUUUUAUUCUGCUCUUUAUUUUGUGGGCCAAACUAGAGAAAUCAUGCAAUAUUUAAUCUUUUGUGUCUGAC